This 472-nucleotide ribosomal RNA is filed under the name uncultured organism. RNAcentral describes it as "partial 16S ribosomal RNA". It matches the Rfam family "Bacterial small subunit ribosomal RNA", at positions 334 to 798 of the family's 1533-position model. The record is from RNAcentral.
CACUCCUGCGGGAGGCAGCAGUAGGGAAUCUUCCACGAUGGGUACAAACCUGAUGGAGCAAUGCCGCGUGAGUGAAGAAGGUCUUCGGAUCGUAAAGCUCUGUUGUUAGAGAAGAACACGUGCUAGGUAACUACUAGCGCCUUGACGGUAUCUAACCAGAAAGUCACGGCUAACUACGUGCCAGCAGCCGCGGUAAUACGUAGGUGACAAGCGUUGUCCGGAUUUAUUGGGCGUAAAGGGAGCGCAGGCGGUCUGUUUAGUCUAAUGUGAAAGCCCACGGCUUAACCGUGGAACGGCAUUGGAAACUGACAGACUUGAAUGUAGAAGAGGAAAAUGGAAUUCCAAGUGUAGCGGUGGAAUGCGUAGAUAUUUGGAGGAACACCAGUGGCGAAGGCGAUUUUCUGGUCUAACAUUGACGCUGAGGCUCGAAAGCGUGGGGAGCGAACAGGAUUAGAUACCCUUGUAGUCCCAU